This 253-nucleotide ribosomal RNA is filed under the name uncultured bacterium. RNAcentral describes it as "partial 16S ribosomal RNA". It matches the Rfam family "Bacterial small subunit ribosomal RNA", at positions 524 to 776 of the family's 1533-position model. The record is from RNAcentral.
UACGGAGGGUGCAAGCGUUAUCCGGAUUCACUGGGUUUAAAGGGUGCGUAGGUGGCUUUGUAAGUCAGUGGUGAAAUCUCGGAGCUUAACUCCGAAACUGCCAUUGAUACUGCUUAGCUUGAAUCAAGUAGAGGUGGAUGGAAUAAUACAUGUAGCGGUGAAAUGCUUAGAUAUGUAUUAGAACACCGAUUGCGAAGGCAGUUCACUAUGCUUGUAUUGACACUGAGGCACGAAAGCGUGGGGAGCAAACAGG